UGCUCUGCUGACUGCCUAUGGGCU
RNAcentral lists this non-coding RNA (24 nucleotides) under Rattus norvegicus (Norway rat). Lineage: Eukaryota; Metazoa; Chordata; Mammalia; Rodentia; Muridae. The record is from RNAcentral.